Lates calcarifer (barramundi perch) is the source of this 2272-nucleotide long non-coding RNA. RefSeq lists it as uncharacterized. The transcript has 4 exons. The record is from RefSeq and is a predicted model, not a curated record. NCBI's taxonomy places the organism in Eukaryota, Metazoa, Chordata, Actinopteri, Centropomidae.
AAGUGUCAAAAAAUGUCAUAGUAUAGUAAGGUGUCAAAAUCAGUCAAAAAAUGUCAUAGUAUAGUAAGGUGUCAAAAAGUGUCAAAAAAAUUCAUAGUAUAGUAAGGCGUCAAAAAGUGUCAAAAAAUGUCAUAGUAUGUUAAGGUGUCAAAAAGGCUCAAAAAAUGUCAUAGUAUAGUAAGGUGUCAAAAAGUGUCAAAAAAUGUCAUAGUAUAGUAAGGUGUCAAAAAGUGUCAAAAAAAUUCAUAGUAUAGUAAAGCGUCAAAAAGUGUCAAAAAAUGUCAUAGUAUAGUAUGGCAUCAAAAAGUGUCAAAAAAUGUCAUAGUAUGUUAAGGUGUCAAAAAGUGUCAAAAAAUGUCAUAGUAUAGUAUGGCAUCAAAAAGUGUCAAAAAAUGUCAUAGUAUGUUAAGGUGUCAAAAAGGCUCAAAAAAUGUUGUAGUAUAGUAAGGUGUCAAAAAGUGUCAAAAAAUGUCAUAGUAUAGUAUGGCAUCAAAAAGUGUCAAAAAAUGUCAUAGUAUAGUAAGGUGUCAAAAAGUGUCAAAAAAUGUCAUAGUAUGUUAAGGUGUCAAAAAGUGUCAAAAAAUGUCAUAGUAUGUUAAGGUGUCAAAAAGGCUCAAAAAAUGUAGUAUAGUAAGGUGUCAAAAAGUGUCAAAAAAUGUCAUAGUAUAGUAAGGCGUCCAAAAGUGUCAAAAAAUGUCAUAGUAUAGUAAGGCGUCAAAAAGUGUCAAAAAAUGUCAUAGUAUAGUAAGGUGUCAAAAUCAGUCAAAAAAUGUCAUAGUAUAGUAAGGUGUCAAAAAGUGUCAAAAAAAUUCAUAGUAUAGUAAGGCGUCAAAAAGUGUCAAAAAAUGUCAUAGUAUGUUAAGGUGUCAAAAAGGCUCAAAAAAUGUCAUAGUAUAGUAAGGUGUCAAAAAGUGUCAAAAAAUGUCAUAGUAUAGUAAGGUGUCAAAAAGUGUCAAAAAAAUUCAUAGUAUAGUAAAGCGUCAAAAAGUGUCAAAAAAUGUCAUUAGUAUAGUAUGGCAUCAAAAAGUGUCAAAAAAUGUCAUAGAAUAGUAAGGUGUCAAAAAGUGUCAAAAAAAUUCAUAGUAUAGUAAGGUGUCAAAAAGUGUCAAAAAAUGUCAUAGUAUAGUAAAGCGUCAAAAAGUGUCAAAAAAUGUCAUAGUAUAGUAUGGCAUCAAAAAGUGUCAAAAAAUGUCAUAGUAUAGUAAGGCGUCAAAAAGUGUCAAAAAAUGUCAUAGUAUAGUAAGGCAUCAAAAAGUGUCAAAAAAUGUCAUAGUAUGUUAAGGUGUCAAAAAGGCUCAAAAAAUGUAGUAUAGUAAGGUGUCAAAAAGUGUCAAAAAAUGUCAUAGUAUAGUAAGGUGUCAAAAAGUGUCAAAAAAUGUCAUAGUAUAGUAAGGCGUCAAAAUCAGUCAAAAAAUGUCAUAGUAUAGUAUGGCAUCAAAAAGUGUCAAAAAAUGUCAUAGUAUAGUAAGGUGUCAAAAUCAGUCAAAAAAUGUCAUAGAAUAGUAAGGUGUCAAAAAGUGUCAAAAAAAUUCAUAGUAUAGUAAGGCGUCCAAAAGUGUCAAAAAAUGUCAUAGUAUAGUAAGGCGUCAAAAAGUGUCAAAAAAUGUCAUAGUAUAGUAAGGUGUCUAAAUCAGUCUAAAAAUGUCAAAAAGUCAAAAAAACCUACCUCUCAUGUUACACCAAGAGUAGCAUCUCCUCAACAACGCUGGAGCCACACAGCCGGACCAACUACAGUUUAGUGGACCAGGACAGCAACAACAGGACAAAUUAAUGCACCAGAGGGCAUUUUCUUUUUCCCAUGGACUUACUAACAUAACUGGACUUUGUUUACCUUACCUUGUAUAUCACAACUUGUCUCAGUGUAGGGUGCAACUUUCUUAAGAUGUGUUGUUGAGUUUGUUUACAGUCAGGUUACUGACUUAUCUUAGCAUGUUCACACUCCACCUUUGACCGACUGGUUCUGACUUUGACCUUAAAUGAACUCUCCUUUGUUAACCUCCCCCACAUGCCAGGAAGUCAGUCCUAGAGGCCAUUUUCUGACUCAGCCAUCUUGGUUAUAAAUCCUUUGUUGUAAUCCAUGUGGCUUAAAGCAACCAUCUUACCUUUGUUUUUCACAGACGCACAUACUUGCACACACCUCUACACAGUGUUGUAGGUUAGGUUAGAUUUUGUGCUUGUUAUUUCAUUUUGGUAUUUGUUCAAAUAAAUACUUCUGAACACUGAAUGUUUUGCUGGUCUGUUUAAUAUUUUAUGAAAAUUAUUAUUGCCAAUU